Molecule: ribosomal RNA, 608 nt
Filed under: uncultured bacterium
Lineage: Bacteria
Description: bacterial SSU rRNA
Rfam family: Bacterial small subunit ribosomal RNA
Source: RNAcentral
CCUACGGGAGGCAGCAGUAAGGAAUAUUGGUCAAUGGGCGCAAGCCUGAACCAGCCAUGCCGCGUGCAGGAAGACGGCCCUAUGGGUUGUAAACUGCUUUUGAACAAGAGAAAGCCUCGGUACGUGUACCGAGCUGAUAGUAUUGUUAGAAUAAGCAUCGGCUAACUUCGUGCCAGCAGCCGCGGUAAGACGAAGGAUGCAAGCGUUAUCCGGAUUCAUUGGGUUUAAAGGGUGCGUAGGCGGCCUGAUAAGUCAGUGGUGAAAUCUCUCAGCUUAACUGAGAAACUGCCAUUGAUACUGUCGGGCUUGAGUACAGAUGAUGUGGGCGGAAUAUGACAUGUAGUGGUGAAAUACUUAGAUAUGUCAUAGAACACCGAUUGCGAAGGCAGCUCACAAAACUGUAACUGACGCUGAGGCACGAAAGUGCGGGGAUCAAACAGGAUUAGAUACCCUGGUAGUCCGCACCGUAAACGAUGAUUACUCGUUGUUGGCAAUAUGACCGUCAGCGACCAAGCGAAAGCGAUAAGUAAUCCACCUGGGGAGUACGCCGGCAACGGUGAACUUAANAGAGAGAGNGNGNGAGNGNGACGACGACGACGAGGAGGAGG